ACGAGUGGAUCCGCCGCUGCCCUCGCCCCAUCGUCGCCCCACCACCGCUCGCCGCUGCGGAUCCGCCAACUCCGCCGCCGUUCCUCUCUAGCCUCCGCCGCUGCCCGCCCUCUCCGCCCUCCCCCGGUCUUCUCCCCCUCCGUCGCCCUGUUCUUCUUCCCCUCCCCAUCCUCUCCUAAUCUUCUCCGGCGCGCGCACUCGCGGAUGCAGGCGAAUGGCUCGGGCAGGAGACAUGGCUCACGGCGGCGGCGUCUCUCCUCGGGAGGAGCUCGAGCGUUGAGGUCGGGGUGUGCGCUGCCCCUAGGACGGAGUCCACCGAUCCGUGCUGGUCAUGGUCCACCACCACCACGCCUUCAAUCCGACCUCCACAACUUCAGCAAGCAGGAGCAUCGCAAUGGUUUGUAUGCUAAGAUAAACUUGAGUGACGAGGUUGAUUUGUUUGUAUGCUAGGAUGAACUUGAGUGACGAGGUUGAUUUGGAAGAUCAUGUCUCCAGACAGGAUAAAAUCAGUGCUGCUAAUGUGAGUUGAUUUGGAAGAUUGUCUCCAGACAGGAUAAAAUCAAUGCUGAUGAUGAAGCUGGCACGCCUAUUAUCCGCAAAAAUCGGUAAUGUUAUCCUGCCCAAGGACUUCGAGAAGGGUUACCGAACCAACGUCAAGAAGCCUUAGACAGACUUUGACUUCUACAAAUGAGGCAACGAACUAUUAAAGAGGAUGGUUUAUUUCCUACGGGCAACAAUUAUUAACACUAGAGUUGAAUUUGUUGACGGUCGCGUCCGACAGUAAUAUCCCUGUAUCUUGGUGCUCCUGUAGUUUGCACAUUCAGUCUCAUUAGUGUUGUUAAGCUACUUGCCUGCAAAAAGCGUCAUGGGAGUUGCUUCCCAGCGAGAGAGAAGAGUUCAAAAAGGGAGAGAGCAAAGAAGAAGGACAAGGAGAGGGCAGUGGUGUCGUGUGGAGACUGGCCGGUGAGGCAUAACUAGAAGUUUCUCUAAUGGUCGACAACAAGGAUCACUGCACAACAGGCUUUGGAGCAGGCUCCGAUUCAUAGAGAACUCCCCAACAACCUCAUCUUUUGAGGAUGUUAGAUGGAUAUUGAAUCCAGUAAGCCUCCAAUAGAUAAAGGAAGUCAAAUUUUCUGUUGGUAAUUUGCACGACAGGGUUCUAGCAAAUUUAUGAUUGUGCCUACAACAAACUACCUCUGCCUGAAGAUUUGAGAUUUUUCAGAGAAGAAAGAACUCUAGAGGUGUGCAUGUUUGUCAUAUUUUUAUGGAGAAUCAAGUCUGCAGAAUACCUACUGAUUUGAGGAAUUCGGAUGUUACCCAUGGUCAUACACAGAUGUAGUUUAUGAGAAACUAUCUUAUGUUGAUGGUGUGUAAGCAUAUCAGCCUCCCGGUUGCCUAUUUCAUUCCUCACGGGACCAUUAUGCUGGGCUAAUUGAGGUACACACCAAGAGGGAGAAUUUCGGCAGCUGGAAAUCUGGACCUGAAAAAGCUACGUCAGGCCAUCUAUUCUGCACAACUCCAAACAAGCUGAAACUUUACAGAGAUUUUUUAUGGAGUAUAUAAGAAUUAUUGGAGCCAAUAAGUACCAGAGGGGGGUCAGGUGGGCACAACCUACCUGGGCGCGCCAGGUAGCCCAGGUGCGCCAUGGUGGGUAGUAGCCCCCUCGGCCCACCUCCGGUGCCCAUCUUCUGGUAUAUAACUCAUUUUUACCUAAAAAAAAUAAGGGGAAGACUUUCGGGGCGGAGAGCCGCCGUCUCGAGGCGGAACUUGGGUAGGAGCACUUUUGCCCUUCGGCGGAGCGAUUCUGCCGGGGAACUUCCCUUCCGGAGGUGGAAAUCAUCGUCAUCAUCAUCAGCAACAACUCUCCCAUCUUGGG
Long non-coding RNA from Aegilops tauschii subsp. strangulata, 1876 nucleotides. RefSeq lists it as uncharacterized. NCBI's taxonomy places the organism in Eukaryota, Viridiplantae, Streptophyta, Magnoliopsida, Poales, Poaceae. The record is from RefSeq and is a predicted model, not a curated record.